Non-coding RNA from Pantoea wallisii, 79 nucleotides. The record is from Rfam. Lineage: Bacteria; Pseudomonadati; Pseudomonadota; Gammaproteobacteria; Enterobacterales; Erwiniaceae.
CAGGAUGAGCCGACAGGACGUCGGCGAAAGGCGCCGCUGAGCAGGAGCGAAUCGGCGCCGGUCCGUCAGGAAGCGUGAA